CUUGCUGCAAAAGUUGUAGCUGUGUAUGAUGCUGUCUACAGGACAAAAUAUGGGUUACUCUUCAUCCGCACUUAUGUAAUAAAGUUCACACGAGGCUCAACACGAGUGGAUAAUACUGAAGUGGAGGUGGGAAUUGUGUUCAAUGACACUACGUCAUCUGCAGAAAUCCCCAGCUCUGCUGAUGUUGCAACAACAUUAGUAGAAGCCGUGAACAAUCCCAAC
This is a long non-coding RNA of Platichthys flesus (European flounder), 222 nucleotides long. RefSeq lists it as uncharacterized. The record is from RefSeq and is a predicted model, not a curated record. NCBI's taxonomy places the organism in Eukaryota, Metazoa, Chordata, Actinopteri, Pleuronectiformes, Pleuronectidae. The transcript is spliced from 3 exons.